Molecule: ribosomal RNA, 109 nt
Filed under: Cercospora capsici
Lineage: Eukaryota; Fungi; Ascomycota; Dothideomycetes; Mycosphaerellales; Mycosphaerellaceae
Description: partial 18S ribosomal RNA
Rfam family: Eukaryotic small subunit ribosomal RNA
Source: RNAcentral
GAGGUCGGCAACGACCACCCAGGGCCGGAAAGUUGGUCAAACUCGGUCAUUUAGAGGAAGUAAAAGUCGUAACAAGGUCUCCGUAGGUGAACCUGCGGAGGGAUCAUUA